CGGGUGAGUGGCGGACGGGUGAGUAACGCCUGGGAACGUGCCCUUUGGUUCGGAACAACACAGGGAAACUUGUGCUAAUACCGAAUGUGCCCUUCGGGGGAAAGAUUUAUCGCCAUUGGAGCGGCCCGCGUUGGAUUAGCUAGUUGGUGGGGUAAAGGCCCACCAAGGCUACGAUCCAUAGCUGGUCUGAGAGGAUGAUCAGCCACACUGGGACUGAGACACGGCCCAGACUCCUACGGGAGGCAGCAGUGGG
RNAcentral lists this ribosomal RNA (253 nucleotides) under uncultured Phenylobacterium sp. RNAcentral describes it as "partial 16S ribosomal RNA". It matches the Rfam family "Bacterial small subunit ribosomal RNA", at positions 88 to 358 of the family's 1533-position model. The record is from RNAcentral. Lineage: Bacteria; Pseudomonadati; Pseudomonadota; Alphaproteobacteria; Caulobacterales; Caulobacteraceae.